Molecule: ribosomal RNA, 254 nt
Filed under: uncultured bacterium
Lineage: Bacteria
Description: partial 16S ribosomal RNA
Rfam family: Bacterial small subunit ribosomal RNA
Source: RNAcentral
UACGUAGGGGGCAAGCGUUGUCCGGAAUUAUUGGGCGUAAAGAGCUCGUAGGCGGUUGGGUAAGUCGGGUGUGAAAACUCCAGGCUCAACUUGGAGAUGCCACCCGAUACUGCUCUGACUUGAGUUCGGUAGGGGAGUGGGGAAUUCCUGGUGUAGCGGUGAAAUGCGCAGAUAUCAGGAGGAACACCGGUGGCGAAGGCGCCACUCUGGGCCGAAACUGACGCUGAGGAGCGAAAGCGUGGGUAGCAAACAGG